Molecule: long non-coding RNA, 4583 nt
Organism: Betta splendens (Siamese fighting fish)
Lineage: Eukaryota; Metazoa; Chordata; Actinopteri; Anabantiformes; Osphronemidae
Exons: 5
Source: RefSeq, a predicted model, not a curated record
AUAACAUGAUUGUUUGAGCAGAAAUAUGAGAACAUGAUAUAUCGUAGCUGCAGCCCCCUUCACCCGGUGCCAAACACUCGCAGUGAUCACAUGAACAGGAGCGUGUAUCAGCCUUCCUGAUUCCUCCGCUCGCGACAGGAGGACGUCACGCUCCGAGCCCGACGCUCCGCCGUGAAACCGAGAGCGCUGUUUUGUCAGUAGAUUGGGGAGGUUGUGUGCUGGGAUCUUUCAUCAGGAAGGCAACGUGUUCCUAAUGCUUGUUCCACGCAGAGGAAUUGAUGGACGUGUCACCGACUCCUGUCACGGGAGACACGGCAACAGCUGAUGGUCUUCCCAUGAAGCAGCUGCUGAUGGUCUGUGUGAUAAUGGAACCAUAAAGGAGCCAAAUAGAGGUUUUGAAGACCUUGCUUUUGUAUAAAAAUACAAGGUCCUGUCCAUGGGAUCGUUCGUUGCCUUGUACAUAGAGCAGAGAGUAGCCAUCAUAUAUGAGUGAGGUUCCAUGGGGACAAAGUGGAACAUCGACAGAUUGGCUGUGACGAGUUACAAGGAAUCCAUGAUCCAUGGAAGAGGGUCCAGGUGGACCGACUUGACCAGGAACACCAUCAGGUCCCGGAGGGCCAGGGUGACCUCUGGGUCCUAAAGACACAGAGUAACUACAGUAAUAAUUUCUAAACAGGAAAGAAACUAACUAAAUAUUAGAGCUUUGUUUAGGAUGCCUCUGACCUUGUGGCCCCUGUGGACCAGGCUCUCCUUUGGCUCCAGCUUGACCGUGAUAUCCAGGAAUUCCUUCUUCACCUUUUGGUCCAGGAAUACCUGUCAAACCUGUAAAAAAGUAACAAAAAUGAUGAAGCAUACUGAGGAAACAUCAUAAAUAGAUUAUUGUGAAAUAAUAUACAUAUAUAAAAAACAAUAUUGCAUAAUAAUUUUUUUUAUUACAUUAAUUACAUUUUCUUUGUAUUUAAAUGCUGGUGUGAGAGAGAAUUACAUUUAAUUCAUUCAUUGUUUAUUAAUUGUUUAUUUUUUCUAGCAAUACCUUAGAUUAAGUGGGUUCAUACAUUUUUAGAUUAUUACCUUGCUGUCCUUUCUCUCCGGGAAAACCUGCUGGCCCCUGAGGACCUGGAAAACCUGGAACUCCAUGGGGUCCAAUGUCUCCCUUAGUAAAGGUAUGGGGACCAGGUGGACCAGGAGGCCCUUCAUGACCUGAAAUAUGCAGGGCCCUCCAGAGAAGCGCCUGGGAUCCCUAUUUCUCCAGUCUUCCCCUGUGGUCCCUGCAGGCCUGGAAGUCCUUUGUCACCUUUGGUACCAGGGACACCUGGGUGGCCUGGAGUGCCAGGGAAGCCUGGACUACCUUUGUCACCUGCAAAGAGAAAGCAAAGCCAAGUUGAACACUAUGAGCUAAUGAUUAAGACAUGCAGCAGUGAUGGAGUGGACCUCACCUUUGCUACCUGUUCCUCCUGCCGGCCCAGGGAAGCUUCGACCAGGAAGUCCAUCCCUGCCUGAUAACCCUGGUGGCCCUGGCUGUCCUUUAGUGCCUGGGGGUCCUGGGAAGCCUUGCGUUCCUUUUUCUCCCUGAGGUCCUGGCAUGUCCGAACCAGGAACACCAGGAAAGCCCUUUUCUCCCUUUACACCUUCCCUACCUGUCCAGCAUGUACACAUCCAUUGCAUUAAUGCUAUACUGAUAUAUUCAAGUAAGCAAAAAUGCACGUAUAACACUCUCACAGCUGACAUUUUGAGUUGGAGGAGUGCUGUGUUUGUGCUCACCUUGUGGUCCAGGCUCUCCAGCUGGUCCUUGUGGUCCCUGGGGUCCGGGAGCACCUUUUCCUGGUGGACCUGGUGAGCCAACAUUACCUGGCAGUCCUGGGGGUCCCACAUCACCUAAAAAAGAAAAUAUAUUAUAUAGUAUUGUGUUUGUGACAGGUAAUAGACAUUUUACAAUAAAAUUCACUAAAUUAAAAAUGAAGCUUAUACAAAAAUCCUGUAGUACCUUUGAUUCCCUGAGGUCCUGGUGGUCCUGUCUGGCCUUCUCGUCCAGGAACUCCAGGUGGUCCACUACUACCUUUUUCUCCUUUGAAUCCAGUAACUCCUGGGAGGCCCUGAGACCCUUUUGGACCUGGGAGACCCCGUCCUGGUUCACCCUGCAAAAUAUUAGUGUUUUGUACUGUAUGUGUCCAUACAAUGUUCAUACAAUACAUGAUAUGAUACUGUUGUUGUUUGACAGUAAAGCAGUGGGACUACUACAUCUUUCAAUACAGAAUUGUAUUGAAAUUAAUUAUGAUGUACAAAUUUAAGCAAAUACAUACUUUUUGUCCAGGUGGACCAGUAUGUCCAGUCAAACCAUCAUGCCCAGGUGCUCCUCGUUCCCCUGGUAAUCCUGGUGCUCCUGGAAUUCCACUUAUUCCUGGAAACAUAAUUUUGGGGUGUAAAUAUGUACGCAAUAUCUGUGAUGCAUGUUUGGUAGGAAGUAUAAGAGACCACAUAGAGUAAAUCACCUUUAGGACCAGUUGGGCCUGGAAAUCCAAUUCCAGAAGGUCCUUGUUCACCCUUCUCUCCAGGAAAACCUGGCAAGCCUUGAUCUCCCGGCAGACCUCGGAUACCUGUAGUCAUCAUCAUGUAGGAUGUUAAACGAGCAUGUAAAAAUUUCAUAUCUUAUAGCAUACAGUAUUUGCACCUUGACAAUACGUUUUUGAGGUAUUUAUAUAAAUUAUUUUUUAACCCAAGAAGGUAACACUUUAAGUUAAAUGAAUUUAAUUAAGCAAAGGACUUGCUCACCUGGAGCUCCAGGAAUUCCAGCCACUCCUGGUGGUCCAGGUUCACCUUGAGGCCCAGGAAUGCUCUGACCUUCUCCAGGCUCACCUUUUGUACCUGGCAGACACAAUUUGAAAAUCAAAUAUGAACUGUUCUCCAGAUUGUGAUUUUAACUUGUUUUUUCUCCCUUUAUUGUCAAAUGAUGACCUACCAUACCAUAACAAAUAUGUAAUUUACAAUGCCUACCUGGUUUUCCAGGAGAACCAGGUGUUCCUGGUCUGCCUUGACUGCCUUUCUCGCCAGGCUCUCCUGGGCGACCAAAGCCUGGCUGUCCAGGGGGACCCCUCUCUCCUGGGGGUCCAAUACGACCAGGAUCUCCAUCUGGUCCACGCUCACCUUUGAUGCCCUCUUUGGCCUAAAUGGGAGAGUAAAAAAGGGUGAUUGCAGAAACAGAAAGAAAUGGGCAAAAAGCCAGAGUAUAUAGGCAUUUGACAAGCGGUUCAAUCAUUUCUGGCUUGUGACUGAAUGGUGGACCUCCCAAAAUAUUACCUUAUUACACAACUGACCCACACACACUUACAGGUUCUCCUUUAAGGCCGGGUACACCAGGGUGGCCAUCUCUCCCUGGCUGUCCAUCCAGACCUGGUCUCCCUGGUGAACCAUCAGGACCAGGAAGACCUUUAUCUCCCUUCAGACCAGGAGCUAUGAAAAUGUCCCCUGGCUCACCAACAGCGCCAGGAUUCCCCCUUAAACCUGGACUACCUGCCGAACCCUGCACACAGGCAAAAAGUGAAUUAUGCCCACAUAUUAUAUAUAUUUUUAAAAAAAUCAUAUAUUGUAAUAUUUAUUUUGAUAUUGGUAAAUCUUUCUCAACAAAACUACAAAUAUACACUAAUCUAAUAGCUUCAAAAUGUCAAAAAUGUAUGAAAUUAUUGGACUCACAGGUUUUCCAGGUUGUCCAGGAAAACCAGGUUGGCCUUUGUCUCCCUUGCUUCCCACUAGCCCAGGAGGGCCUGCCAAUUUAAAAUGGACAUUGUUAAUCCUUAGUCGGUUGAAUAGUUAAUAUGUGUUAAUAAAAUAAAAUGGAUAAAUAUCUGAUCUUGGACAUUGCCUACUGUAAAGUGCUGAGUUCAGCAACUCUGUUGCUGAAACUCAGUUUCCACCAAAAAAAGACCCCUUUAGAUGUCAACUUACACAACACAACACAACACAACACUAUAACAUAUGGACUUACCCUGCUCUCCUUUUGACCCCUUGGGACCAGGUAAUCCAGGUUCCGGGAAACCGUUGCAGUCAAAACAAGUAUCGCCUUUGUUACCUAAACGAAAAUACACUAAAGUCAGUUCAAAAAUAUUCAUCUAGGGGAGGCUAAACCAGUGCUCAAGACUAUUACAGUAAUUAAUAAACUACUUAUAAUGAUUGGUAAUGACAGGUGUCAUUGUUACCUUUCUGUCCCACUUCCCCUUGUAACCCUGGAGGACCAGGUGGCCCUUUCGUAAUGUUACAUCCGGGGUCAGCUGUAAAGCAAUGUGGCAGCACGCACACACAAAUAUUAACACACAAUACAUAUAUUAACACAUAGUAUGUACAUAUAGACUUUUGUUCAUUAUUUUAAUAUUUGCAGUAUUGACACAUAAAUAGGACAUACGAGGGGGCCCUGGUGGACCAGGGGGUCCAAGGUCUCCUGGUUGUCCUGGAGGUCCAACAAGGGACUCUCCUUCUAAACCUCUGUCUCCUUUCUCUCCAGAUUCUCCUUUCUGACCCUUCUCUCCACGAGGUCCUUCAAUGAACCGUCCUGAAAAACAAGAUGAAAAAUAAAGUCAGUGUUUGGUAGUUCG